AACGUAGGUGGCGAGCGUUAUCCGGAAUUACUGGGCGUAAAGAGAGUGUAGGUGGUUUGAUAAGUCACAUGUGAAAUCCCUCGGCUUAACCGAGGAAGUGCAUGUGAUACUGUUGAACUAGAGUGCAGGAGAGGUGAGUGGAAUUCCUAGUGUAGCGGUAGAAUGCGUAGAGAUUAGGAGGAACACCAGAGGCGAAGGCGACUCACUGGACUGUAACUGACACUGAGACUCGAAAGCGUGGGGAG
RNAcentral lists this ribosomal RNA (245 nucleotides) under uncultured Eubacteriales bacterium. Its description in RNAcentral is "uncultured Clostridiales bacterium partial 16S ribosomal RNA". It matches the Rfam family "Bacterial small subunit ribosomal RNA", at positions 524 to 768 of the family's 1533-position model. The record is from RNAcentral. Lineage: Bacteria; Bacillati; Bacillota; Clostridia; Eubacteriales.